Molecule: ribosomal RNA, 949 nt
Filed under: Solemya velum gill symbiont
Lineage: Bacteria; Pseudomonadati; Pseudomonadota; Gammaproteobacteria
Description: bacterial SSU rRNA
Rfam family: Bacterial small subunit ribosomal RNA
Source: RNAcentral
AACUGAAGAGUUUGAUCCUGGCUCAGAUUGAACGCUGGCGGUAUGCUUAACACAUGCAAGUCGAACGCGAAAAUACCUUCGGGUAUGAGUAGAGUGGCGGACGGGUGAGUAACGCGUAGGAAUCUACCUAGUAGUGGGGGACAACUACCGGAAACGGUAGCUAAUACCGCAUACGCCCUACGGGGGAAAGCGGGGGAUCUUCGGACCUCGCGCUAUUAGAUGAGCCUGCGUCGGAUUAGCUAGUUGGUAGGGUAAUGGCCUACCAAGGCGACGAUCCGUAGCUGGUCUGAGAGGAUGAUCAGCCACAUUGGGACUGAGACACGGCCCAAACUCCUACGGGAGGCAGCAGUGGGGAAUAUUGGACAAUGGGCGAAAGCCUGAUCCAGCAAUACCGCGUGUGUGAAGAAGGCCUGCGGGUUGUAAAGCACUUUCAGUAGGAAGGAAAAGCCUACAGAAGAAGCACCGGCUAACUCCGUGCCAGCAGCCGCGGUAAUACGGAGGGUGCAAGCGUUAAUCGGAAUUACUGGGCGUAAAGCGUACGUAGGCUGUUAGGUAAGUCAGAUGUGAAAGCCCUGGGCUCAACCUGGGAACUGCAUUUGAUACUGCCUGGCUAGAAUCUGGUAGAGGGUAGCGGAAUUCCACGUGUAGCAGUGAAAUGCGUAGAUAUGUGGAGGAACAUCAGUGGCGAAGGCGGCUACCUGGACCAAGAUUGACGCUGAGGUACGAAAGCGUGGGGAGCAAACGGGAUUAGAUACCCCGGUAGUCCACGCCGUAAACGAUGUCAACUAGCCGUUGGGUUCUUUUAUGGACUUAGUGGCGCAGCUAACGCGAUAAGUUGACCGCCUGGGGAGUACGGUCGCAAGAUUAAAACUCAAAGGAAUUGACGGGGGCCCGCACAAGCGGUGGAGCAUGUGGUUUAAUUCGAUGCAACGCGAAGAACCUUACCAGC